UGGCCUUGCGCCGGCGAUGGUUCAUUCAAAUUUCUGCCCUAUCAACUUUCGAUGGUAGGAUAGUGGCCUACCAUGGUGGCAACGGGUAACGGGGAAUUAGGGUUCGAUUCCGGAGAGGGAGCCUGAGAAACGGCUACCACAUCCAAGGAAGGCAGCAGGCGCGCAAAUUACCCAAUCCCGACACGGGGAGGUAGUGACAAUAAAUACUGAUACGGGGCUCUUUUGGGUCUCGUAAUUGGAAUGAGUACAAUCUAAUCCCUUAACGAGGAACAAUUGGAGGGCAAGUCUGGUGCCAGCAGCCGCGGUAAUUCCAGCUCCAAUAGCGUAUAUUAAAGUUGUUGCAGUUAAAAAGCUCGUAGUUGAACCUUGGGUCUGGCUGGCCGGUCCGCCUCACCGCGAGUACUGGUCCGGCUGGACCUUUCCUUCUGGGGAACCUCAUGGCCUUCACUGGCUGUGGGGGGAACCAGGACUUUUACUGUGAAAAAAUUAGAGUGUUCAAAGCAGGCCUUUGCUCGAAUACAUUAGCAUGGAAUAAUAGAAUAGGACGUGCGGUUCUAUUUUGUUGGUUUCUAGGACCGCCGUAAUGAUUAAUAGGGAUAGUCGGGGGCGUCAGUAUUCAGCUGUCAGAGGUGAAAUUCUUGGAUUUGCUGAAGACUAACUACUGCGAAAGCAUUCGCCAAGGAUGUUUUCAUUAAUCAGGGAACGAAAGUUAGGGGAUCGAAUGCCGAUCAGAUACCGUCGUAGUCUUAACCAUAAACUAUGCCGACUAGGGAUCGGGCGGUGUUUCUAUAAUGACCCGCUCGGCACCUUACGAGAAAUCAAAGUUUUUGGGUUCUGGGGGGAGUAUGGU
Molecule: ribosomal RNA, 850 nt
Filed under: uncultured fungus
Lineage: Eukaryota; Fungi
Description: SSU rRNA
Rfam family: Eukaryotic small subunit ribosomal RNA
Source: RNAcentral